This 253-nucleotide ribosomal RNA is filed under the name uncultured bacterium. RNAcentral describes it as "partial 16S ribosomal RNA". It matches the Rfam family "Bacterial small subunit ribosomal RNA", at positions 524 to 776 of the family's 1533-position model. The record is from RNAcentral.
UACGUAGGGGCCGAGCGUUGUCCGGAGUUAUUGGGCGUAAAGCGCGCGCAGGCGGCCUCGCGCGCCCGACGUGAAAGCCCCCGGCUUAACCGGGGAGGGUCGUUGGGGACGGCGGGGCUUGAGGGCGGGAGAGGUCGGUGGAAUUCCCGGUGUAGUGGUGAAAUGCGUAGAGAUCGGGAGGAACACCUGUGGCGAAGGCGGCAUCCUGGACCGGUAUUGACGCUGAUGCGCGAAAGCUAGGGGAGCAAACGGG